AGAGUUUGAUCAUGGCUCAGAGCGAACGCUGGCGGCGUGCUUAACACAUGCAAGUCGAACGUGAAAGGGAGCAAUCCUGAGUAAAGUGGCGUACGGGUGAGUAAUACGUAGAUAAUCUACCCCAGAGUCUGGAAUAACCUGCCGAAAGGCGGGCUAAUACUGGAUAGAGCGAUGGAAUCCGUAAUUGGGUUUUUCGGGAA
RNAcentral lists this ribosomal RNA (200 nucleotides) under uncultured bacterium. RNAcentral's name for it is "partial 16S ribosomal RNA". It matches the Rfam family "Bacterial small subunit ribosomal RNA", at positions 8 to 204 of the family's 1533-position model. The record is from RNAcentral.